Long non-coding RNA from Dermacentor andersoni, 505 nucleotides. RefSeq lists it as uncharacterized. NCBI's taxonomy places the organism in Eukaryota, Metazoa, Arthropoda, Arachnida, Ixodida, Ixodidae. The record is from RefSeq and is a predicted model, not a curated record.
UGGGGCAAGCGAUAGCAAAGAAGUCCGCUGGCCUUAUUUUAAACUGCUGUUUUUUUUUUGAAGGAUUUAGUUGACAUCGGAAGCACUACAAGCAAUAUCCCGCCAGCUGAGGAAGAGAGUGCAGAAACCCUCCUGAUCAACAUGUGCUGCCAAAAAGAAUACACUACCGACGAAUGCAGCUCCCAGGCCACUGAGUCACCUGUGCCUGGGACUUCCAGCACAACUGACGAGGAGACGUCAGCCGAAGUAUGCCGAAGUGCUACGCCAAAGCGAACACAAGCAGUCGCAGCGAAAAGGAAAAGACACAAGCUGGAUGACGAAAUCGCAACUGUAGAUCAUCUGCUUAAAAAAAAUGAAGAUGCGCCUGCUGUUUUUGGGCAGCUUGUUGCCCAUAAAUUAAGAAAGUUUCCAGAACGACAGCAGUCGGAAUUGGAAAUAGAAAUUUUACAGUUGCUGAACAGGCACGACUAUGAGUGAAAAUAAAGUGUACCCUAUUUGUUCACUG